GAAGGCUUUCACAUCAGACUUAAAAAAUUGUCUGUGCUCGCUGUUCGCCCAAUAAAUCCCGACAACGCUUGGCAACUACGUUUUACCGCGCCUCCUGGCACGUAAUUAUCCAUGGCUUUCUGGUUAAAUACCGUCAACCCUUGAACAGUUGCUCUCAAAGGUGUUCUUCUUUAACAACAAGUUUUACGAGCGCGAAACC
Molecule: ribosomal RNA, 199 nt
Filed under: uncultured bacterium
Lineage: Bacteria
Description: partial 16S ribosomal RNA
Source: RNAcentral